GGGUGCUUGGCCGAUGGAGGGCUGGCUGCGCGCCUUCGAGGAGCGCGCUGCGGCACGCAGCAGCCCAAGGAACUCGUCCCGAGCGGGUGGCGUCCG
This 96-nucleotide transfer RNA is filed under the name Streptomyces longisporoflavus. RNAcentral describes it as "tRNA-Arg". The record is from RNAcentral. Lineage: Bacteria; Bacillati; Actinomycetota; Actinomycetes; Kitasatosporales; Streptomycetaceae.